Molecule: ribosomal RNA, 301 nt
Filed under: uncultured bacterium
Lineage: Bacteria
Description: partial 16S ribosomal RNA
Rfam family: Bacterial small subunit ribosomal RNA
Source: RNAcentral
CAGUCGCCACGGUAAUACGAAGGGGGCUAGCGUUGUUCGGAAUUACUGGGCGUAAAGGGCGCGUAGGCGGCCAUUCAAGUUAGAUGUGAAAGUCCUGGGCUCAACCUAGGAAUUGCAUUUGAUACUGUUUGGCUUGAGUUCGGGAGAGGUGAGUGGGAUUCCCAGUGUAGAGGUGAAAUUCGUAGAUAUUGGGAAGAACACCAGUGGCGAAGGCGGCUCACUGGACCGACACUGACGCUGAGGCGCGAAAGCGUGGGGAGCAAACAGGAUUAGAUACCCGCGUAGUCCCUGUCUCUUAUAC